ACUCUGCUGAAGUCAAAAAGGUUCCUGUGCACGCCCAGGCACCUGGAGCUCAUUCCAUGAUCACAGCUGGGACUGAUGUGUGUGAUCCCACACUGAGGCAAAGCUCCCAUCAUUGAUCUUCAGUGUGCAGGAUGAGGAUAUGAGUGAGAGAGCUGAGCUGUUGACAAUGCAAACUCUAAUGAACACCUCUACUGGAGAUAAAACUUGCCUCUGCUCACUUGGGAUGGCUGAAUCUGGGUUGUAGCCUUCCAGCUGGGAUUGCAAGGACUUGGGAGAUGACCAGAGUCAUCACAGCCACUGCAGUCAGUGGUUCAAGAGAAGACUGUUGUUAUUGGCUGCAUCUGAGAAACCCACCAAGUUGCCCUAUGAAGUUUUUACCUGACUAAUGUCUUUUUCUAAGAGCUGUAAGCUUGGAGCUGCUGGAGAAUCCCAAGUGAGAAAUAAAAACCUGGACCAAGUCUGUUGUGCUGAAGUGGCUGAUCUCUCACUGAGCACAGAGGAAGACCUAAUUCUGAAGGGAAAGAAUCUGAGGAAUACAAAAGACUGGAGGAAAAUUCUUUGCAGAAGCUUCCAGAAGAGGAUUUCUAUUUAGCAGGUCUGCCAGAGGUUCAGUGCUCCCUAAAAGCAAUGCUGACAACAGAUUGUUCUCCUGCAAUUUGCUUUGGGAAACAACUUUUAUGAUUAAAAGCAAAAGCUUUAA
Long non-coding RNA from Passer domesticus (house sparrow), 700 nucleotides. RefSeq lists it as uncharacterized. NCBI's taxonomy places the organism in Eukaryota, Metazoa, Chordata, Aves, Passeriformes, Passeridae. The record is from RefSeq and is a predicted model, not a curated record. The transcript has 3 exons.